CUUUUAUCAGAACUUUAGGAAAUGUUUUAAUGCUGUACUCUAUACCAAAUCAAAUUACAACAUAAUGCUAUCCAACCCAACAUUUCUCAACUUGGACUCAGUCCUGCAAUUCAAGCUUUCUCCAGGAUUUAUGACAUAUUCACUACGUUCCCACUGGCACCUUCAGAUAGGUACACAGCGAACAGCUUUCCACUUGUCAAUGCUUUGGAGACUUCUAAAAAUAAGCCCAAGAAUGGAAAUACCAACAAACUGGCAGAGCAACAAGUGGACCUGUCAGCCCUGAGCCUCAAAAAGCAAGUGGACAUCAGCCUUGGGAGAUGUGCCAGGGCUCCUGGUAAGAGCCACAGCUAAGUGCAGCUCUGAGCUGCUGGCUGCAGGGGAUCCCAAGACAGAGUCGAGAUGCAUCUGGAUCAGAUCACAGCUUGGUAAAAGGGAUAAAGACCUGCCCGCUUGCCUGCAUUUUGUCUAGCACAGAGAGGAAACAGCAAUAUGUUUGAGUCAUAGAGCCUAUAAAAUAGUGGUUUUGGGGAGAUAAUUGUACCUCUGUAACAUCCAGUUUGAGAGCAGUCACAGGUAGUCACUUCCAUGCCACAAUACUGGAGCUGUUAGCUCCACAGCUCACAAAGGGAGUGAGACAAUCUCCAACACAUCAAACACACCACACAAGUGCAAAAAUAUUUUAUCAACCAAUUAACCACAUAUUUAGAUUACCCAAAUUUUGUCUGUUAGACCAAACCAAACUAUACCUGAUAUUAUUCUAAUCACAUCUGGACUGCACCGUGUUGUUUCUGAAAAAUCCAGCACCAUUGUAUGUGAGUUUUUUUCCAUGUUAUUAUUGUGAUGGGUCUGUUCGCAGAUGUUGGGUUCCACUGUCUUGUUCAUUUCCGCACACGGCUUUUCAUCUCCUGACUUUGCCUUUGCUGUCUGUCAUAUUACUGUCCUCUCUUCUCCAGUAAAAAAAUGUAGUGUUUCCUGUACUGUAGAUAUAAGGACACAAAUAAGGGUGUCAGUAUUGCUCUCUGGGACAGACGCCGCCAGCCUUGGCUGCUCCAUCACCAUAACCUCAGCUGAACUGGCUGACUAAACAGCGCUGACAAUUGUUUUGCAUUAUAAGGCAGGAAAAAAAACAAAAACCUUCCGGCUCUAGCUCUGUAUAUUUAAAGUUGUGCUGAACAGCAAAGACACAGCAGAUAUUUCGUAUUCAGAAUCUCAGAGUGGCUCAGCUCCCCUCAAAGUUCAUUUGAUGCUAUGUUUUCAGAGAUAACAAGGUUAUUUUGCAAAGCACUGCAACAGUGUUGGCUACCUGCAGACUGGGUCCUCCAACUAACAUAUACAUUUGAGGAAGAACAUAGGGAUAAGGCUAAACCAUGCAGUGGGAGGCUCCUGACUCACCUUAAUAACCAUCUAGCAAGCAUCUUUGACUUGAAUCACCAACAACCCAGUUGUUAAGCUGCAACAGCUUGGGUUUCUUACAGCUGGUGCAAAGCAUUCUUACCAAACUCUCUGAAACAACCAAUCUCUUUUGAAAAGUGCUGCUAAUAGAAGUCUCCUAUGUCAACGUAACCAGAAGUAGGCACUGCAUGACCAUGGUGGUGCUCAGAGAUGUCACUGCAUUGAGUUUUACACUGAAUGCCAACCGUGAGCUGUGCCUCUAUAUAGAAUGCUGGAGGGGUAAAAGGAACAGCAUCUUUAUGCAGCAAGAUAACUGGAUGAGGCUGAAGUCCUAGAGAGACACAUCACAAAAUAGGUCACAGAGUAAGAGCAUGUCAUACUUAUUAAAAAAGAAUGGCCCACAGUCCACCAUGGUUUUUCUCAUACAUCGAUAUAUUUUUCUACAAUCACCAUAAGCAAAUCAUCUUUUUUUCGUCCCUUCAAACUCUGAAUUUCAAAAUAAUGAAAAUGAACUAUUAGUCAUCCAGUGUCUUCCAAGCUAAGUCUACUCAAUUUCCAAAGCAAGUACUUUUCUUCCUUCUUUUGUACUCUGCCAGCACUUCAGACAUAAUCUAGAACCUGAAGUCUUAUCCAAAGAGCUCAAGUAUCAUCAUCUAAU
Meleagris gallopavo (turkey) is the source of this 2050-nucleotide long non-coding RNA. The record is from Ensembl. NCBI's taxonomy places the organism in Eukaryota, Metazoa, Chordata, Aves, Galliformes, Phasianidae.